GGAGGGUGCAAGCGUUAUCCGGAUUUACUGGGUUUAAAGGGUGCGUAGGUGGGUAGGUAAGUCAGUGGUGAAAUCUUCAAGCUUAACUUGGAAACUGCCAUUGAUACUAUUUAUCUUGAAUACUUUGGAGGUAAGCGGAAUAUGUCAUGUAGCGGUGAAAUGCUUAGAUAUGACAUAGAACACCAAUUGCGAAGGCAGCUUACUACACAGUUAUUGACACUGAGGCACGAAAGCGUGGGGAUCAAACAGGAUUAGAUACCCUGGUAGUCCACGCCCUAAACGAUGGAUACUCGACAUUAGCGAUAUACAGUUAGUGUCUGAGCGAAAGCAUUAAGUAUCCCACCUGGGAAGUACGACCGCAAGGUUG
This 367-nucleotide ribosomal RNA is filed under the name uncultured bacterium. Its description in RNAcentral is "bacterial SSU rRNA". It matches the Rfam family "Bacterial small subunit ribosomal RNA", at positions 527 to 896 of the family's 1533-position model. The record is from RNAcentral.